UAGCUAAGUAUCUAAAAGCAUUUAACGUACCCAUAAUGACAUUGGUUGGUCUGCGCAUCCUACUGGGUUAGGUUGUACGAUCUCCAACCCGCUUGUCCACCUGUGCGGCCCCCUCGACUCUUCUGGGGCUGACUGCCACACCUAACUAACUAUACUAGGCCCUGCUACUAGAUGCUACUCUUUGAUUCUGUUGAUACAUAUGUUAUAGAGUACCUGCAUUACAGUCUGCUCGCUAAACUCGUCCAGAGCCCAUACUCUUUUCAUGUUUUGUUAAGGGAUAUUCUCGCUGCCAAUGAUUUAUCUAACCACACGUGUGACAUGUAGAAGUGCCCCGUCUGCAAUCACCAUUUUGGUGUUGUCUAGAUUGUCAACAAUAUGGACGACUUGCACUACUACCAGUACUACCAGACUAUCUGCUAUUAGAGAAACGAGAACUACCAGACAACCUCCCUCCAGAUCGUGGAGUGUUAGUGCUAGAAUUGCCACUAGAAGAAGCAAAGCUCUGUCCACUCUUCUUGAAUGGUCAACGGUCUCUCAGACCUCCCACUGAAAAUCUACCUCGUUGUCUGGACCCAAAUCAAUUGUAGCUACUACUACCAACACCAAGAUUAGUAAAAGUUUCUAUUCUCAAGGCUACCAGAAAUUCCUCAUUGUAAGUCCAACAAGGAUUGGAUGCGGCAGCCAUUCUGAUGUACUCAUUAAGUUCAAUAUGAAAUGAGUAAACAACUCAUCUAGGUCUUUUUCUAUGGCAAGGCAAUACUUUGGGAGUUCACUAUACUUCCUCUCAUACUCCGACACUCAUAUUACCUUGUUAUAGAUCCAAAAAUUCUUUUUUUUUUUUUUUUUUUUUUUUGGUUCUUGAACUCCGGAGAAAAGAACCUGACUUUGAAAUUAGUUUUGAAACCAUAGUGUUUCAAGGAAGCAUUUGCAUUUCAACAUUCCACUGAGAUCUUGCACUCUAGAUGAGGAAAAAUGUGGUUGUGGAAACCCAAUACUUCUCAAGGCAGUUAUUCAUGGUUUGCAAGAGGCGCUCCAUUUCCUCCAACCAAUUCUCUGCUUGAUCUCCAUCAUCACCUGCCCCGUCAAGGGUCAGUGCUCCCAUUCUACGUGCCAUCUCAAGGAAGGUGCGACCACCACCCUAACACUCUGAAAGCCUUGUGCAGUAGCAUCCCUAACUAAUCUAAGCCAGGAAAACUAUAUGGUGGAGUGAUUGUUUAACGUCGAGGUGGCAUUGCUCUAGCAAUAAAACAUAAGACACGUCCCAUACGGCACUAUAAGGUGCAUGAUUUCAGGAUUCCUAAAGCUAUGCUCUGAGACCAAUCAGACACGUCCCGACCCAGAUAUCCAUCUGAAUCAAGUCGUGUUGGCGGACACCUAUAAGGUGACGCAAGCCAAAACAUGCAUAAAGGAUAAGAAUUAAAAAUUCAAGUAGGGCCUUUCAAAAUUUUGGUGUAGUUUGCCUUAAAAUAUGAUUAAAACCAACAUGCAUACAUAAUAGUUCACAAAUAUUUCACAACUGAACAUCCCUAAAAGGCCAAACCAAACGGGUCUCAGGCCCUCCACUAUAAGCAUGUUCAUAGUUCAGAGCAUAAGUACUAAUGUGCAUGCGGAAGUUAAAGUAUUCAAAAGAAAUUCUAGAUGCUUUAUCCAUGCACAGAUGGAUUUAUUACAAAAAUUCUAUGACAAGGGUAAGGCUCCUUACAUUUUGGAAGUGUGUUAGAGCUGCCAACUUUGUAAAUCAUCAUCAUCAUAAAGCAAAAUCAUAAUCAUAAUAAUCCAAACCAACACUUACACCAAUGGUAAUGCAAAUCACAUGCCUAAGUCGGAACUCAAACCCAAAUGAUAUGUACCUUGCCGGGACUCUAACUGGAAUGUAGACAAUUGAAUCCAUAAUAAGAAACGAGUUGGGACUUUAAACAAUAAUAUGGAUAAGUUGGGACUCUAACUGGAAAUGUAGAGAAUUGAACCCAUAGUAAGAAACAAGUUGGGACUUUAACCCAUAAUAUGAAUAAGUUGACACUCUAACCCAAAAUGUGAAUAAGUUGGGGCUCUAACCCACCCCGAUGACUCUAACCCCAGAUACGAAUGGAGUUGGGCCUCUGACCCAACCAAGGGACUUUAACACAUAAUGAAUGUCAUGACAAUAAUGUAUUCUAUGGCCGUAGGAGAAAGAUACUAUAACAUAAGUACAUGUAUACCAAGUGGUGUAUAAGAUCAUAAAUCCAAUGGGGUGGAUUAUGCAUGAUCAUGCCUAUUAGUGAAACCAUUAUCUCAAAAAACCAAAUUCCCACAAUAGUUUGCAUAUCCAAAAUCAAACCAUAAUUCUCAAGUAUGAAGUAUCAACCAUAAUCAACAGUAAACCACGUAUAGACUUGAUGACAAGUGUAGUCAAAACCAUUCGAAACCAUUUGUAAUUAUAUAUAUAUAUAAGAAAACCAGAUAUAGGCAUGAUCAUAAUUAUAGUCAAAACCAUUCGAAAUCAUUUGUGAUUAUAUAGAAAUAUAAGGAAACCAUUUUAUGAAUACAAGGUCCACUCACAGGAACUUCGCUCUGUCCUUGUUGUGAGGAGGAUGCUCUCUUAAGUGUCUAGAACUGUCUAAAAGACCUUGCACCUACACAAAGCCAUUUUCACUCAGAAAGUAUUCAAGAUAUAAAGGUAAUUUAAUAUGGACAGAUUCUAAUGACUCGGUCUUCUAAUCUCAAAUUUACGUAAUUCUUUGCUCACUAUUUUCUAGCAUACAGACUCCAUCAUCAAAACCACACCAAAACCUUAGUAAUGUCGAGAAUAUUUCAAACACAUAACCUGCCCACUUCCACACUAGACCGCAACUUCUAAGAAUUACUUAAUUUCACAACAACACAGCAAAGUACACCAUUUACUAAACCUAGUUCUUAAACCCAAAAUAAAAGGGUUUAGGGUUUUUAGUAUUUUACCCAAAUCGUCCGUAUUCAUGUCCUAACUUGCAGCUGAGCUUCGAUUCCUCGUCCAGUCAACAAAUCGAGUCUAAAACUUCAACAAACAACCACAAUUAGAAUUAAAACCUUGAAUUUCGAAAAAGUCUUCAGAACCCAAAAGUUGAAAUCAAAAUAACCCACUUACAUAGGUAGAAAUCCCGUGAGGAGAGGAUCAACUUUAUCUGUUGGUCCGAGACCCAUUUUCCCGUCGGUUUGGCCAGAAAAUCGAAUUUUCCGGCGAAGGUGACUUAUUUCCUCGCCUUCAAUCUGCCUGGUGCAGUGGUUGUUCAGAGAUUCAAAGGUGACAAAAGUGUUUGGGCGCGACUACGGCAUGAAUUUUGAUAUAAGAUUAGUCGAAAUCGUUGUCCGAAUGAAAAAGAUAUGAUGGUUGGAGGUUAGGAGGGCAAAGGAGAGGAAAAAACAAGAACAGCAGCUUUGCUGCUGCUUCUGCACGAAGAGAAAAAGAAACGAAGCAAUUUGGCAGGGGAAAAUUUCUUUUUUCACUUUUUUAGUUUUUUUGUUCAAAAAAAAAAACAAAAUUAUUUAAGUUUUUAAUAUUCACGUGAGCAUUACAUCACCAGUUAACGACUAACUUAAUAGUCAGCUUAACGGAUGUAUAAGAUUGUUCCAAAAUUAAGACUUCAUGUAUGACUCUGAAAUAAAAAAAAACUUCGUAUACCAAAUGUCCUAAUAAAGUUAUUGCAUUCUUCUUUCCAAUUUUUUUAAAGAAAAAACAAUAAAAAUGACUCGAAACUUUAAGUUUUAACGAUAAAAACAAAAUAAAUGGUAAAAUGAAUUGUACCAUGAUUAACUUUUUAGUGUAAAAAUGAACAAUACCAAGAGUUUUUCGUUAAAAUUUCAUUUUUUCUAACUAAAAAAGAGAAUACAUUAUUCGAUUUAAUAUCAAGCAUGAAAAAAUAAAUGGGGUGUGCUAUCCACACACCAUACUUUACUUCUCACACACCUCUUGAUCAUUUAUGUCAGUUGAUUUUCUUUAAUUCAUACGAUCCGACAACCGAAAAUUAAAAAAGAUGCGUGAGAAGAAGUAAAAUAAGAUGUGUGAGCAUCACACCCCAAAAUAAAUGAACGUGCUUUUAUAGUUUAGUCUCAACUUUUAAUAUUAAACCUAAAGGUUAAUGAACGUUAAUCCUCGAGAAUUGGGUAAACCAAAAAUUGGGGCUUCAUGUGAAUUUGAGGAAGAAGAGGAAAGACUCGAAAGAGGAACUUACCUUUAGCGUCAAUAACACCAGGCUUACAAAUCAUCGUUAUAUUGUGAAGUUAGUUCACGAAUUUCACUUCGAUUCCAACACAUUUUGACUCUAACAUAGAAUAGAAAGCCGCUUUCCGGGGGAGAACUCUUGCUCACAAGCUCCGUCUAGCCAGAGUAGCAGCAGCAGGAAGGAUAGGAAGACCCGAUAGGGAAUACUCUGCCUAUUGUAUUUCUUGCUGCCGUAGACAACAUGUAACACGGUUGGAUGGCUCCCUCUAAACCAUGUUUUAAGUGUUCUGUUUUACCUCCUGUCUGCCAAAUCCAUCAAAUUCUAUCUAAAAUACUGAAAUUGGCAUGUGAAGAGCCUGUCUUAAUUGUAUAUGAGGCGCGAAAACAUAACUUACGAGCAUGCAAAACAGGAACCAGGAAAAAGUAUCAAACGACAAUGCAUGUUAUGAUCAAACUGUUUCAGUUUCAGGUCAUUGUCAACUCGGUUAAAUUUAUACAGUUUUCUCAAGUUAUAUACAUGCCCUACACACAGUAAGUACAACGAGCAACUUGAGCUGAGCUAGUUUCUUCAAUGAAG
RNAcentral lists this long non-coding RNA (4751 nucleotides) under Malus domestica (apple). RNAcentral describes it as "long non-coding RNA (MDOM_LNC002434)". Lineage: Eukaryota; Viridiplantae; Streptophyta; Magnoliopsida; Rosales; Rosaceae. The record is from RNAcentral.